Molecule: long non-coding RNA, 273 nt
Filed under: Hordeum vulgare
Lineage: Eukaryota; Viridiplantae; Streptophyta; Magnoliopsida; Poales; Poaceae
Description: long non-coding RNA (HVUL_LNC002490)
Source: RNAcentral
GUCCACUCAUUACAAUAAAUGGUUGACUGGUUGUACAGAAUUAGCUCACGAAAAGUAAGAUGUCAGCAAUUGAAAUAAAAGUAAGAUGUCAGCAAGUGAAAAAGAAAUGAGUAAGGGGACCUAAUUAAGUUGCUUGAACAUAUGUAGAGAUGGAGCCUCGUUUUUUACCAAGUCCACCCGACAGAGGCCGACGACCCUCUUCCCGUCCAGCAAACGCGCCAAGUUCGAAAAUAUCGACAUACAUGCUUAGCUAGCUAUACAACAGAGCUACAA